GAUGAACGCUGGCGGCGUGCCUAAUACAUGCAAGUCGAGCGAACAGACGAGGAGCUUGCUCCUCUGACGUUAGCGGCGGACGGGAGAGUAACACGUGGAUAACCUACCUAUAAUACUGGGAUAACUUCGGGAAACCGGAGCUAAUACCGGAUAAUAUAUUGAACCGCAUGGUUCAAUAGUGAAAGACGGUUUUGCUGUCACUUAUAGAUGGAUCCGCGCCGCAUUAGCUAGUUGGUAAGGUAACGGGUUACCAAGGGGACGAUGCGUAGACGACCUGAGAGGGUGAUCGGCCACACUGGAGCUUAGACACGGUCCAGACUCCUACGGGAGGCAGCAGUAGGGAAUCUUCCGCAAUGGGCGAAAGCCUGACGGAGCAACGCCGCGUGAGUGAUGAAGGUCUUCGGAUCGUAAAACUCUGUUAUUAGGGAAGAACAAAUGUGUAAGUAACUAUGCACGUCUUGACGGUACCUAAUCAGAAAGCCACGGCUAACUACGUG
RNAcentral lists this ribosomal RNA (497 nucleotides) under uncultured bacterium. RNAcentral describes it as "partial 16S ribosomal RNA". It matches the Rfam family "Bacterial small subunit ribosomal RNA", at positions 28 to 507 of the family's 1533-position model. The record is from RNAcentral.